AACCCUUGAUGAGGACACAGUCACGGAAUCUCCUUGAAGCGUCCCAAGCAUCAUAGACUGAUUCUCCAUCCUUUUGUGAAAAACUUGUGAAUUGAUUUCUCAACU
Cicer arietinum (chickpea) is the source of this 105-nucleotide small nucleolar RNA. NCBI's taxonomy places the organism in Eukaryota, Viridiplantae, Streptophyta, Magnoliopsida, Fabales, Fabaceae. The record is from RefSeq and is a predicted model, not a curated record.